CGCAUCUGUGCAUGCAGCAUAUCAAUAAGCGGAGGAAAAGAAACUAACAAGGAUUCCCCUAGUAACGGCGAGUGAAGCGGGAAGAGCUCAAAUUUGAAAUCUUAAAGGGUUUCCCUUUACGAAUUGUAGUUUAAAGAAGUGUUUUCUGUUGAGGUUUUGGUAAAAGUUCUUUGGAAUAGGACAUCAUAGAGGGUGAGAAUCCCGUAUUUGACCUUUACUUUCAACUUUGUGAUACACUUCCAAAGAGUCGGAUUGUUUGGGAAUGCAGUCCAAAAUGGGUGGUAAAUUUCAUCUAAAGCUAAAUAUUGGCGAGAGACCGAUAGCGAACAAGUACCGUGAGGGAAAGAUGAAAAGAACUUUGAAAAGAGAGUUAAACAGUACGUGAAAUUGUCAAAAGGGAAGCGUUUGACACCAGUGUUGUUUUUCUGAAAAUCAAUUAAAGAACUGUUUAUGCUAAGCUGUUUAGACUUUAUCAGCUAUCUGUUUAGUUUUGAGCUUUUCUUUAAUGCACUUUUCAGUUAACAAGUCAACAUCAAUUUCUUUUGCUGUAAAAAAGCUUGAGGAAGGUGGCUUGAGAUUCGUCUUAAGUGUUUAUAGCCUCUUGCCUAUGCAGUCGGAGAGAUUGAGGUCUGCAGCGUAGAUCCUUCGGGGCUAAAUGCAUUUGUGCUAAGUUAUAGCAUUUUAUAGACAACUUGUUGACUAUGAUUUGUCUUGUAGCUUACUCGCUUAUGUUAUUUUACCUACGCUUAGGAUGUUGAGUCGUAGAGCACGCAG
RNAcentral lists this ribosomal RNA (774 nucleotides) under uncultured Neocallimastigales. RNAcentral describes it as "partial large subunit ribosomal RNA". It matches the Rfam family "Eukaryotic large subunit ribosomal RNA", at positions 26 to 628 of the family's 3401-position model. The record is from RNAcentral. Lineage: Eukaryota; Fungi; Neocallimastigomycota; Neocallimastigomycetes; Neocallimastigales.